RNAcentral lists this unclassified non-coding RNA (294 nucleotides) under Hevea brasiliensis (rubber tree). The record is from RNAcentral. Lineage: Eukaryota; Viridiplantae; Streptophyta; Magnoliopsida; Malpighiales; Euphorbiaceae.
CCUAAAUGCAAUCUUUUGACCUUUGUACUGUUGGUCCUCAACAAGUGGCUUGCUGUGUCUAUUAACCCAAAUCACUUCUCUUAACCCUCCUCUUCAUCAUCUCAGCCCAACUAGCAAGAACAUUGGAAGUUUCAAACUUGGCAGAGAACUUCAUCUUUUGGGCCAACUCCUCAAGCAUAUCGGGCUUCCCAGAUCUGGACAAAUCACAUGCGAACUUGUUGUAGUCAAGCUGGGGAGCUUUCAUUCCUUUCUCUAACAUCUCCUCCAAGUAUUUACAAGCUUCGCCUGAUCUUC